Molecule: non-coding RNA, 574 nt
Organism: Pelobates cultripes (western spadefoot toad)
Lineage: Eukaryota; Metazoa; Chordata; Amphibia; Anura; Pelobatidae
Source: the annotation of a GenBank genome assembly
UGCAGGGAAUGAUCUAUACACUAAAACUGCUUUAUUUAGCUAAAGUAAUUUAGGUGACUGUAGUGUUCCUUUAAGCUUGUAGUGGAAUGAGAUAGUUGUUACUAGAAAACAGCGAAUAUAUGGUUUCACAGUUGGUUUAGCUUAUAGGACAUCUGUAUAUGUAUCUAAUUGAGUUUAGAUUCAUAAUUUCUUAUAUUUACAUUCAUCUUUAUUUUUGUUAUAAAAAGUUUGUUUUAAAAGUUUAUUUUAUUGGGACGUUAGAGGGAUUUUAACCAAAGGAUAACAAUAUAACAUGCGUCAGUAGUUAAACUAACAGAUCCUGGAAAAGGCAAUGCAAAAGUUAAGUAUGGGCUUUACCAAUGCAAUGUACAAAUUAUAGUUAGGUGAUUUUGUUUUUCCCAUGUUACAAAAAUAAGCAUCAGAAGUGAGCAUCUUUCACGGAUUUCUCAUGCAAAUGAUGCAGAUCACUCAGAAAAGCAUGGACUCAGAAAUAGUGAUGUCCCGAACGGUUUGCCGAACGGUUUGCGAACGGUUCGCCACGAACGGUUUGCCACGGACUCAUCAUUGAGUAAAC